RNAcentral lists this ribosomal RNA (305 nucleotides) under uncultured bacterium. RNAcentral describes it as "bacterial SSU rRNA". It matches the Rfam family "Bacterial small subunit ribosomal RNA", at positions 336 to 655 of the family's 1533-position model. The record is from RNAcentral.
CGCCUACGGGAGGCAGCAGUGGGGAAUAUUGGGCAAUGGGCGCAAGCCUGACCCAGCAACGCCGCGUGAAGGAAGAAGGCUUUCGGGUUGUAAACUUCUUUUAUGAGGGACGAAAGAAAUGACGGUACCUCAUGAAUAAGCCACGGCUAACUACGUGCCAGCAGCCGCGGUAAUACGUAGGGAGCAAGCGUUGUCCGGAAUUACUGGGCGUAAAGGGCGCGUAGGUGGGCGCUUAAGUCAGGUGUGAAAACUCCGGGCUCAACCUGGAGACUGCACUUGAAACUGGGUGUCUUGAGGGCAGGAGG